This 670-nucleotide ribosomal RNA is filed under the name uncultured bacterium. RNAcentral describes it as "bacterial SSU rRNA". It matches the Rfam family "Bacterial small subunit ribosomal RNA", at positions 578 to 1248 of the family's 1533-position model. The record is from RNAcentral.
GGCUUUCAAGUCAGGUGUGAAAUCCUACAGCUUAGUGUAGAACUGCACUUGAAACUGGGAGCCUAGAGUAUGGGAGGGGCAGAUGGAAUUAGUGGUGUAGGGGUAAAAUCCGUAGAUAUCACUAGGAAUACCGAAAGCGAAGGCGAUCUGCUGGAACAUAACUGACGCUAAGGCGUGAAAGCGUGGGGAGCAAACAGGAUUAGAUACCCUGGUAGUCCACGCCCUAAACGAUGAACACUAGUCGUCGGAGUACUAGUUACUUCGGUGAUGCACUUAACAGAUUAAGUGUUCCGCCUGGGGAGUACGGUCGCAAGAUUAAAACUCAAAGGAAUAGACGGGGACCCGCACAAGUGGUGGAGCAUGUGGUUUAAUUCGAAGAUACGCGAAGAACCUUACCUGGCCUUGACAUUGAGAGAAUCCGCUAGAGAUAGCGGAGUGCCCUUCGGGGAGCUCGAAAACAGGUGCUGCACGGCUGUCGUCAGCUCGUGUCGUGAGAUGUUGGGUUAAGUCCCGCAACGAGCGCAACCCUCGUCCUUAGUUGCUAGCAGUUCGGCUGAGCACUCUAAGGAGACUGCCUUCGUAAGGAGGAGGAAGGUGAGGACGACGUCAAGUCAUCAUGGCCCUUAUGGCCAGGGCUACACACGUGCUACAAUGGGGCGUACAGAGUGUU